Molecule: ribosomal RNA, 497 nt
Filed under: uncultured bacterium
Lineage: Bacteria
Description: partial 16S ribosomal RNA
Rfam family: Bacterial small subunit ribosomal RNA
Source: RNAcentral
GAUGAACGCUGGCGGCGUGCCUAAUACAUGCAAGUCGAGCGAACAGAUGAGGAGCUUGCUCCUCUGACGUUAGCGGCGGACGGGUGAGUAACACGUGGAUAACCUACCUAUAAGACUGGGAUAACUUCGGGAAACCGGAGCUAAUACCGGAUAAUCUAUUGAACCGCAUGGUUCAAUAGUGAAAGACGGUUUUGCUGUCACUUAUAGAUGGAUCCGCGCCGCAUUAGCUAGUUGGUAAGGUAACGGCUUACCAAGGCAACGAUGCGUAGCCGACCUGAGAGGGUGAUCGGCCACACUGGAACUGAGACACGGUCCAGACUCCUACGGGAGGCAGCAGUAGGGAAUCUUCCGCAAUGGGCGAAAGCCUGACGGAGCAACGCCGCGUGAGUGAUGAAGGUCUUCGGAUCGUAAAACUCUGUUAUUAGGGAAGAACAAAUGUGUAAGUAACUAUGCACGUCUUGACGGUACCUAAUCAGAAAGCCACGGCUAACUACGUG